CUGUAUUAAAAGACGAUCUACAAAAUGAACGUGUUGCUCGUUUUGGUGAUCCUAGUUGGGUUAUUUGCUCCCCAACAAUCAGUAAGAUUAGACGAAUUUAAACCUGCAGUUGAUUGUGCACAUAAGGAAAAUGUGUCGGAGAAGCAGAUUUUUGAUUAUUUAUAUUCAGACAAAAAAAUAGUGAAAGAUCACAAAAUCAAGUGCUUCUUAAGCUGUUACUUUAACAGUGAAGCCUUAUUUAAAACGGCCAUUGAAGAAUUGAAAAAGAAAAAAAUGGACAACCCAUGUCUUUCCAUCAAGGAUGCUGAUAGGUGCGAGGAAGGUUUUAAGAAAUUUACAUGCUAUUACCAAGGAAUUAAAUAAAGCAACUACAUUUAUUUCAAACUUCAAAGAAA
This is a long non-coding RNA of Drosophila rhopaloa, 395 nucleotides long. RefSeq lists it as uncharacterized. The record is from RefSeq and is a predicted model, not a curated record. NCBI's taxonomy places the organism in Eukaryota, Metazoa, Arthropoda, Insecta, Diptera, Drosophilidae. The transcript is spliced from 2 exons.